This is a long non-coding RNA of Triticum dicoccoides, 3299 nucleotides long. RefSeq lists it as uncharacterized. The transcript has 9 exons. Lineage: Eukaryota; Viridiplantae; Streptophyta; Magnoliopsida; Poales; Poaceae. The record is from RefSeq and is a predicted model, not a curated record.
UUCUCCCUCACUCCCGGCGCCUCCCGACCCCCAUCUUCUCCCUCACUCCCGGCGCCGCCCCGCCCCCACCUCCUCCCUCACUCGCGGCGCCGCCCGACCCCCAACCUCCCUGGAUCCGCGUGCGUCCACGCCGGCUUCGCAGCGGCGCUUGAUGUGGAGCGCGCCGGAGUAGAGGAGCGGGCCUUCUUCCUCACCUCACAGCGCUGUCCUCCUCCACGACCACGCAGCCGCAGCGGCGGAGGACCCGAAUCCCUAGCCAGCAAGCUCAGGCAGCCAUGGAUCCAUGGGGCGACGCCAUGGAAGGGCCACCAACACCAGCAGCUAUGGACAUGCAGGCUGCUGCCCUCCCUGAUGCAUCAUGCGCGCAGGCCACAAGGAGGGAAGAACACUGCUCUGCUACUUCCUGGGUCGCCAUGGAAGGGUAAAGAGGUCAACCUCUUCCAAUACACAAUUGCUGAGGUGUUCAAAAAUCUUAGUGAGAGAGGACAUUGACGGUGCGAGAAUGGAACACAACAAGUUUUGUGUGUGUGUGUGUGCAUUACCGAAACGUCGCACGACAUGGUGAAAGUUAUGGAAUUUUUGCUGUAACCGCCUGGACGAAGAUGACAGGGCUAACCGGCUAACAAAGAUGCAUUCAAGUUGAAGGUUCAGAGUUGCAAGGCAGGCACAGUUAACAAGGAUAAGAAAUUGUAGAAGAUUUAUCAAAUCAGACAUGGGCUUGGUUAUGCACUGAAUCAUUGUGGGGGAUCUGAGGUAAUCAGACCAUGCACCCAAACUUAAAUUUUACUUGCUUUUAAAUGUUUAGGAGGCAGAUGAUGUUUGAUAUGCUAGACUAAAGUACGCACCUUUUAAGAGUAUAUCACUGAUACUCCAGUCACCAAUAAAUUCGAAAGUGCGUACUGCCUAGAUUAUUGGAGCUCAUUUUAGCUCUAAGAGUUCUUUUUUAUCUCUUUCACAUUCUGGUAAACAUGUGGGUGAAUAACAGUUAGAAAUUGUUCUAUAUGUACACGGGAAUUCUAAUAGAACUCAUGCUUGAAAUGAUAAAAAGUUCUAUAAUAUUUGUUAGCCGAGCGCUGGAAAAGCUCACUCCUCACACCAGAUCACCAUCGCCGACGUAUAUACUUUUUCGUAACAGAGUCCACAUGUUUACUCAUGUUCUCAGUUUUUUGUUGUUUCGGGGAAGGUUGUUAGGAGCCCAUCUCUUCUGCAGCCCUGGAGAAAGAGAGCUAGAUAUAGUGGUACUUGCUAGCGUUUUAAUGGACACCUCCUUUUGGCCUUUUUUAAUUUCUCUAAUAAUUAGCUAAGAGACUUCAGUGAGUGAGAUUUUUUUGGCCCCUCCCUUUUUCUGUGUCUUUUGGAGUUUUGCUUUGUGGUGAAAGGAGGAUAGAGAUACUCAACAGGGGCCGCCCUCUUCCUCGUCCGAACAAGAUCCCCAAGAGCCUGUACCCACUUGAGAAGAGCUCGAUGAGCUGCACGGCCUCACACAUGAGGAGCAGGAGGCCCAGGGAGGAGGAGUCAUUUGUUUACAGUAGGAAGAUUGGCUUAUGACCUGGUGCAUACCUGCAUGGUAUUUUCAGUAGAGAUGAUUCAAAAUCAAAUCAGCUGUUUGUUAACGUGGUGUUGCCUGCUGCGGUUUUACUAUAUUGUGAAUUUCUGAUUGUGUGCAAAGGGGACACAUGUUCAACUAAUUAGAUCAGUUUGUUAACUAGAACGUGUUAUUGGGAAUAAGCACAGAUCAAUUGUCAGCACAAGAAAUGUGGAAUGCAUUAGAAGUCAUUGCUGUUAUUGUUAUAAUGUUUAAUCUUAAAAAAGUAUACCUACUCUCUCACAUGGUUACUGAUACGCAAUUUUUGUUUGCCUCUUCUCGUGCUGCAGGAUGGAACUGGAACCGAACUUGGUAGUUGAAAUAAUUCUCUGUCUUAAUUCAAGGAGGACCCUAUAUCUAAAGGUAACAGAGCAGUUUAUAUCAUAAUUCCAUUGCUUGAUUUCUAGAAGAAUGAAAAAGGGAGAAAUGGUUGUUUCAUUUGGUGUGCGGAUCUGGUUUAAAGUGUGCGUGCUUAUAUCUGGAAGAUCUUGGUUGCAAAAGUAUAUCAGGAAGAUCUUGGUUGCAAAAGUGAUCAGAUAUACUCCUCUGUACCAAAAUAUAAGACGUUUUUUUUCAGUUCAAUUGAAUUGAAAAAAUGUUUUGUAUUUUCGUACGGAGGGAGUAAUAGUCAACACAACCAGGUUGGUUCUGUAAUUAAAUGCCUAUGAUCUUGUAAUUCUGAAUCAAAUAGUUUGAUUACACAAAGAAUGAUAUUUACUUUGUGUAAGAUCUUGUAAUUCUGAACCAAGUUAAUUCUGAAUCAAAUAUUUUUUCUACUAUUCUAUAUGUAAUAAAUAGAGCACAAAGAAUGAUAUUUUCUUUGUCAGCAUAUAUAGGUCUUAAGUAGCAAAUCGGGGCAUUAUACAUAGUUUUGUUUUGCUUUGGAUUUCAAUUAACUUGGAAUCGAGGGAGAAGUUAUGCUCUCUGUAAUUUUAGCCUAACAGGUAAUUCUUAUGCGUUUGAAUAGGGUAUGGUAUUUUUUUUAUUUAAUUAGUUUGGCGUUUCUUGUAGGCGAAAGUUCUUCCACGGGUGUUUAGAAUUGGAAAUGGUUAACUUACGUUGAUAUGGUACCAUAACUAUUCCACUUGCAAGAAUAUGUAAGGGUAUAUGGCAAGGCAAUUCUUGUUUGACGAGCAUAAUGAAAAACAAAGCGGCAAAAGAAGAUAAAUGAUGAAAGAAGAGAUAAUUUUUGUUCGAGGGUGGGGAUGGAAAAAUAUGUGGCACGGAUAAGCAAAAACAUCUUGGUCGCCAUAUGAAAAUGAAAUGAUGGAAAAAAUGGAAUAAACAUGUUAGUUGGACAUGGCACAUUCAUGAAACAUAAAACCCAUCUAAUUAGUUUCUCUCACAAUCUUUAUUUUGUUAUACUCCGUUCUAUUCCCGAUCUCCAAUUGAUGCAUGACGGUGUAUGUGAACACUUGCAUCGAUCCAUCCACCUUGUGCCGUAAUUAACAUGAAUAAAUGGAGGUGGUGUGGGGAUGCAGGGAGGGGGAACAAAUUGAAGAUGGGUAGCACUGUACAGUUUCCUAGCAAUUUCCAUAAUGGAAGGUCGUCUGGUGUAUUUGAAUGUUGCCAGUUUAUGUGGGCCAACAACCAGUGAGCUUAUGUCAAAACAAGCAUGACAUCUCUUUGAUUAUUUUAGGGUCCUGUCAUGAUUGGUGUGUAACUGAAUCUUGAGAAUUCAUUGGAUGUUUCGCGGGUGUGCAAUCGAACUUGU